GCAGUGUUUUAAUGUAUAAAGUUAGAAUUGGAACGAUACAGAGAAAAUUAGCAUGGCCUGCGCAUGGAUGACACGCACAAAUCGAGAAAUGGUCCAAAUUUUU
Molecule: small nuclear RNA, 103 nt
Organism: Cornus florida
Lineage: Eukaryota; Viridiplantae; Streptophyta; Magnoliopsida; Cornales; Cornaceae
Source: RefSeq, a predicted model, not a curated record